Long non-coding RNA from Felis catus (domestic cat), 748 nucleotides. RefSeq lists it as uncharacterized. The transcript is spliced from 3 exons. Lineage: Eukaryota; Metazoa; Chordata; Mammalia; Carnivora; Felidae. The record is from RefSeq and is a predicted model, not a curated record.
CCCAAGCAGGCUCCACACUGCCAGUGCAGAGCCCAAUGCGGGACUUGAACCCAAGAAACACAAAAUCAUGACCUGAGCCUAAAUCAAGAGUCGCCUAAACUACUGAGCCACCCAGCCACCCUGCAUAACAUGUUUUCUAAAAGGAUGUCUAGGAAAAAUCAUGCAAAAGAAGGCUUGCAGAAAUCAAGCUACAUUCAACCCAUGAAGUUACGAGCAAGCCACAAACAACUUUUGGAACAGAGGCCAGACAGGAUCAAGGCCAGCAGGAACUGACACGUCUGCCUGUUGGCCAAGGAGGCCAAAAGCCCGCCUGAGAGGGAAGAUGGCAUCUUCUCCAACCAUGCCUUCUUGGGUAUUUUACAAACACCUCCCCACCACUCCUUGACCUGUUUUUAUGCUUCAACACAUACCAAGAACAGGUGAGAUCUGUUAUAUUUCUUUCUUAGAAGUCUGGAAACUAUUCUUUGAUGGAAAAAGAGUCUAAUGAUAACUUAUGAUUUCUUCAAAAAAGAGCAUUAGCCUGAACUUAAUGUGUUUCAUCCUGUUGGAAAAAUAGAGGUCUGAUCGCAUGGUUUCAUUUCCAUGAGGUUGAAAAGGUAACAUUUACGGGAGCAUCGGGUCAGUUCAGUCGGUUCAGCAUCAGACUUUUGAUUUCAGCUCAGGUCAUGAUCUCACAGUUCAUGAGAUCGAGCCCCGUGUUGGGCUUUGCACUGACAGUGCUGAGCCUGCUUAGGAUUCUCUCUCUCCC